This 253-nucleotide ribosomal RNA is filed under the name uncultured bacterium. RNAcentral describes it as "partial 16S ribosomal RNA". It matches the Rfam family "Bacterial small subunit ribosomal RNA", at positions 524 to 776 of the family's 1533-position model. The record is from RNAcentral.
UACGGGGGGGGCAAGCGUUGUUCGGAAUUACUGGGCGUGAAGGGUUCGUAGGUGGCUUGUUAAGUCAGACGUGAAAUCCCUCGGCUCAACCGGGGAACUGCGUCUGAUACUGGGUGGCUUGAAUCCGGGAGAGGGAUGCGGAAUUCCAGGUGUAGCGGUGAAAUGCGUAGAUAUCUGGAGGAACACCGGUGGCGAAGGCGGCAUCCUGGACCGGCAUUGACGCUGAGGCGCGAAAGCCAGGGGAGCAAACGGG